ACCUUAACCUGCUAAAUAGCCAGGCCCGCUUUGGCGGGUCGCCGGGCUUCUUAGAGGGACUAUCGGCUCAAGCCGAUGGAAGUUUGAGGCAAUAACAGGUCUGUGAUGCCCUUAGAUGUUCUGGGCCGCACGCGCGCUACACUGACAGAGCCAACGAGUUCAUUUCCUUGUCCGAAAGGUCUGGGUAAUCUUGUUAAACUCUGUCGUGCUGGGGAUAGAGCAUUGCAAUUAUUGCUCUUCAACGAGGAAUGCCUAGUAAGCGCAUGUCAUCAGCAUGCGUUGAUUACGUCCCUGCCCUUUGUACACACCGCCCGUCGCUACUACCGAUUGAAUGGCUCGGUGAGGCCUUCGGACUGGCCCAGGGAGGUCGGCAACGACCACCCAGGGCCGGAAAGUUGGUCAAACCCGGUCAUUUAGAGGAAGUAAAAGUCGUAACAAGGUCUCCGUAGGUGAACCUGCGGAGGGAUCAUUACAAGUUGACCCCGGCCCUCGGGCCGGGAUGUUCACAACCCUUUGUUGUCCGACUCUGUUGCCUCCGGGGCGACCCUGCCUCCGGGCGGGGGCCCCGGGUGGACACUUCAAACUCUUGCGUAACUUUGCAGUCUGAGUAAAUUUAAUUAAUAAAUUAAAACUUUCAACAACGGAUCUCUUGGUUCUGGCAUCGAUGAAGAACGCAGCGAAAUGCGAUAAGUAAUGUGAAUUGCAGAAUUCAGUGAAUCAUCGAAUCUUUGAACGCACAUUGCGCCCCCUGGUAUUCCGGGGGGCAUGCCUGUUCGAGCGUCAUUUCACCACUCAAGCCUCGCUUGGUAUUGGGCGACGCGGUCCGCCGCGCGCCUCAAAUCGACCGGCUGGGUCUUCCGUCCCCUCAGCGUUGUGGAAACUAUUCGCUAAAGGGUGCCGCGGGAGGUCACGCCGCAAAACAACCCCAUUUCUAAGGUUGACCUCGGAUCAGGUAGGGAUACCCGCUGAACUUAAGCAUAUCAAUAAGCGGAGGAAAAGAAACCAACAGGGAUUGCUCUAGUAACGGCGAGUGAAGCAGCAAUAGCUCAAAUUUGAAAUCUGGCGCCUUCGGCGUCCGAGUUGUAAUUUGUAGAGGAUGCUUCUGGGCAGCCACCGACCUAAGUUCCUUGGAACAGGACGUCAUAGA
RNAcentral lists this ribosomal RNA (1147 nucleotides) under Cladosporium halotolerans. RNAcentral describes it as "bacterial SSU rRNA". The stretch from base 1 to 472 matches the Rfam family "Eukaryotic small subunit ribosomal RNA", at positions 1340 to 1831 of the family's 1831-position model. The record is from RNAcentral. Lineage: Eukaryota; Fungi; Ascomycota; Dothideomycetes; Cladosporiales; Cladosporiaceae.